RNAcentral lists this ribosomal RNA (253 nucleotides) under uncultured bacterium. RNAcentral describes it as "partial 16S ribosomal RNA". It matches the Rfam family "Bacterial small subunit ribosomal RNA", at positions 524 to 776 of the family's 1533-position model. The record is from RNAcentral.
UACAGAGGUCUCAAGCGUUGUUCGGAUUCAUUGGGCGUAAAGGGUGUGUAGGUGGCGCCGUAAGUCGGGUGUGAAAUUUCGGAGCUUAACUCCGAAACUGCAUUCGAUACUGCGGUGCUUGAGGACUGGAGAGGAGACUGGAAUUCAUGGUGUAGCAGUGAAAUGCGUAGAGAUCAUGAGGAAGACCAGUGGCGAAGGCGGGUUUCUGGACAGUUCCUGACACUGAGACACGAAGGCCAGGGGAGCAAACGGG